This 5745-nucleotide unclassified non-coding RNA is filed under the name Onthophagus taurus. RNAcentral's name for it is "attractin-like protein 1, transcript variant X1". Lineage: Eukaryota; Metazoa; Arthropoda; Insecta; Coleoptera; Scarabaeidae. The record is from RNAcentral.
AGAAAAAAAAAUAACGUCAAAAGUAAAUGUCAAAAAAGUAUGGACACGAUAGGGUCGUAGUUUUGGCGCCGCUGGUUAGUCCGUUCGAGUUCGACGACGUGCGGAAGAGUUCGCGAGUAGGUGACGGGGGCCCGAAGGCCCCUCAUCCACACCGUCUGCCCACGUAAAGUAACCGUGCGCUCUUAAAACCUGUAGUGGACGUGCCGUUGGCCUCGGCCAUUAAAACCACCGACAACACAGCGGACCCAGUUAAAAAUGGUCGCCCCAUCAUGCUAGAGUCUCUGCAGAUGUUCCUCUUUCUAUUCAAGUCUAAGUAUCGACGGAAAUGUCCGGACGCGAGCGCCGUCGUUUUUUGCUCCUUUGUGCUGGUGUUGGGGGCCGCAUGUUCGCUCGUAGCCGCCAAGUGUCAAGACAACGGCGAUUGCGGACCUCACGGAAAGUGCGUCAAUGACACCUGCGUAUGCUCGGAAGGAUGGCAAGGAAGUAAUUGCCAGUUUUGUGCUGGAAAAAUACGUUUGGCAAGUCCAACCGGUACAAUUCACGACGGUUUGGGUAAUUAUUCAAUCGGCCUGAAAUGUUCCUGGUUAAUAGAUGCACCAAACUCAACGAUAACUUUUCAUCUGGAAGAGUUUGCGACGGAAUGCGGGUGGGAUCAUUUGUACAUCUUCGACGGAGACAGUGUCGAGUCGCCUUUACUUGCUGUAUUCAGCGGUUUAAUGUACCGACACGAUUACAGUAUUCGCAAAGUACCCGAAGUUGUGGCCACUUCCGGUUCGGCUCUUGUCCAUUUUUUCAGUGACGACGCUUACAACAUGUCUGGUUUUAAUAUGACGUAUCGUUUAAACGCUUGUCCUUCGAAAGUUUCGGGAAUGGUUUGUUCUGGGAAUGGGAUCUGCAUCGAUAAGGUAUGCACGUGCGAUGGGAAAUGGGGUGGGAGUGCUUGUCAUAUCGAGAAAUGUCCAAAUAGUUGUAAUAGUCAUCUCGGGAGAGGGUAUUGCGAACAUAUGGGUUGCGUUUGUAAUAAUGGGUAUAAAGGAGAUGAUUGUGGUCAAUUGGCUGAUAACGGUUAUUGGGAAGCGAUUCAACCGUCUGGAUUUGUUCCGCCCGGAUCUGCGUCGCAUGGAGCUGCCGUUUGGAGAGAUUCUCUGUAUAUAAUUGCUGGGCAAAGGUAUGAUAUUAACAGUACCAGUAUUAUCUAUACGUAUGAUUUUAAUGGAAACGUUUGGGAAACGCAUCAUUAUAAUGAAGGUCCGUCUUUACGUUAUGCUCAUUCUACAGUAUUAUAUGGUGACAAGAUUUUUAUUUAUGGCGGUGUAGUUGGAAACCGAGGACCAACAGCGGAAUUAUGGGCUUUUGAUAUUAAUGCUAAAGCUUGGGAAAACGUUACAGUUAAAUCUGGUCCUUGCAACGCAAGUUAUUUACUUUGUGGUCCUUUAGAACUAUCCGGGCACACAGCUACAAUAGUCACGAAUAGUAAUAAAAAAUCUGAUCGAAUGAUUGUAAUUUUUGGGUAUUCACCUCGUUAUGGCUAUUUGAACAACGUUCAAGAAUACUAUUUUGGUACUAGAGAGUGGCAUAAUGUAAAUACAGAUGGUUAUCCUGUUAAAGGGGGAUAUGGUCACACCGCCACUUACGAUAGUUACAGCAUGAUGAUUUACGUUUAUGGUGGAUAUAUUUCAUCUGAAAAUCAAAACUCAAUGUUGAGUAAAGCUUUGUAUUCGUAUGAACCGAUUAGCAGAAUUUGGCGAUUAUUAAACGAAGGUCCUUCCGUAAGAUUCUUGCAUACAGCAACGUUUAUUUCACCGGGAUUGAUGUUGAUUUUUGGCGGAAAUACUCACAAUGAUACUGCUCAUAGUUUCAGAGCGAAAUGUUAUAGCUCGGAAUUACUUGCUUACGAAGUCGCGUGCGAUUCGUGGCACACAUUAAGCAUUCCUAUAGAAUUAAGUGCUGAUUUAUCGAGGUAUGGACAUUCGGCAGUAAUUUUUGAAAAUUCUCUUUAUAUUUAUGGCGGAUUUGACGGACAGAUGCUUUCGGAUAUUUUAAAAUACACAGCCGGAAAUUGUAGCGCACUAAAAAACCAAACAGCAUGUUUAAGUCAAAAACCGGGCGUUAGUUGUGCAUGGGACAAUAGUAACUCAAAGUGCAUCCCAAUAAACGAUAGAUCAAUCAAAUGGUACGAACUUCAAGACGCUCGAACAGAACCGGGGUGUACAAUGUGUAAAUGUCCGAUAUCAAGUCGAACUGACAUCACACAAAGUAUUCUAAAUAAAAAACAAAAGUGUAAUGGGAUUCAAGAUUGUACCUCUUGCGUCCAAACAAGUUACGAUUGCGUUUGGUGCAAUGGAAAUUGUACGCACAGUACUGAUUGUAAAGAAAGUCUUUUGGGGAUUGUGGAGAUGAAAUCGUGCUUGCCAGAUCCAGCGCCUCUUUGCAACCAACUCCAUACAUGCACAUCAUGCGGCCUUAAUUCGUUUUGUAACUGGGAAUUUGAAGGAAAAGUUAGAUGCGGUAAUGCUCAAGUUCCCAGUGAGCGAACAACAUGCGCUAAAGUAUGCUCGGAGUAUACAUCCUGUUUAAAUUGUACCGAAGAAGAAUGUAUAUGGUGCCAAAACGAAGGAAGAUGUAUCGAUAAAAACGCUUACAUCUCCAGUUAUCCAUACGGACAAUGCCGAGAAUGGACAACAAAAACCACCACCUGUCGUAGUGGUGGAAAGGAAGAGAAAUCCCAGUGUAGUUCUUAUUUAACGUGCGGACAGUGUAGGGACGAACCAGCAUGCGGUUGGUGCGAUGACGGAUCAAAAACCGGUCUGGGAAAAUGUAUGCCCGGUGGAUAUGCAGGGCCAACACUUCACACCCAAUCCUUACCAUCGAAUACAUGUCCAUCGGAUCGUUGGCAUUUCACUACUUGCCCUUUAUGUCAAUGCAACGGCCACGCAAGCUGCCGGGGAAAUACUAGCGUUUGCCAAUCGUGCAGCGACUUAACAACUGGACCACAUUGCGAAAAAUGUGUUCCAGGUUAUUGGGGAAGUCCCGUAAAUGGCGGGAAAUGUCAACCUUGCGAAUGCAACGGACAUGCCACACAAUGUCAUUCAGAUACUGGGAAAUGUUUUUGUACUACUAAAGGUUUAAUUGGGGAUCAUUGUGAAAAGUGUGAUCAAGCAAAUCAUUAUACUGGAGAUCCAUCUAAUAAGGGAUCCUGUUUUUAUGCCCUGGCGAUUGAUUAUCAGUUUACCUUCAACCUUUCCAAGAAGGAAGACCGUCACUAUACCCAAAUCAACUUCCAAAAUUCACCGAACAAACCCGAUAUAGACGCUGAAUUUAUGAUAGCGUGUUCCGUCAUGGCUAAAAUGAACGUAACGGUGCGAAAAGCCAACUCAAAAGAGGAAAAAGCAAUAUACACGGCUCAUAACUGUACUAAUAAUUUUAAAACUAGGUUUCUAAAGUCUGAGUAUAAUUUCGGCGAAGAGAACAAUGUUUCCUUAACGACUUUUUACGUAUACGUUUAUGACUUCCAAUCACCACUUUGGAUACAAAUAUCAUUCUCUCAAUAUCUUAAACUCAACAUUCAACAGUUCUUCAUUACAUUUUCAUCAUGUUUCUUAGCGUUGCUCUUGGUAGCAGCAUUUUUAUGGAAAAUUAAACAACGUUACGACAUGUAUCGUCGUCGUCAAAGACUCUUCGUUGAAAUGGAACAAAUGGCUUCCAGACCGUUUUCUCAAGUGCUGGUUGAAUUGGAGGGUAAGGAACGAAUCGAUGAGAAUACAAUAUCAACAGUCACUGAUUCGAAGAAGAAAAAACGCGAUUCUCCAAGUCCGAUUGCUUUGGAACCGUGCAAUGGAAAUCGGGCCGCUGUUUUAAGCCUUCUCGUUCGUUUACCAACGGGUGGGGAACCAUAUGUGGUAAAAGGUCAAUCGGCUGGCUUGGCAAUAGCCAGCGCAUUGGUAACUUUGGGUAAUCCCAGAAGAGUCAGUAUAGACCAAGUGAAGACGGACACGAAGUGUUUAAAAGGUCGGAAGGCCCAAAGCCAACACCCGGACAGUUGUCUUUAGUGUAAAUAGAUAGUUGUUCGUCCAAAAAAUACCAAGAAAAUUUAGAGGUUUUUAAUUUUGAAACAUUUGUGUGGUUAUGAAACGUAAAAGACAAAACUUAGGGUGAGUAAAUGGUGCACAUGACCGAAACAGAGUAAGUAGUUUUUAAGGUUAUAUUUUUAUAGGAGAUUUGAACAAAGAGGCGUUUUUUAAUUUUUUUUUAGUUUAAAAUAGGGGAGAUUUUUAUUUUAUGUUUUAAGGUAACAAAACGGGGGAAGUUGGUGUAAAAUUUGAUUUUUUUUUUUUCCAAAGUAAUUACAUUUUUCUUCCAAUCUCUUGACAUCAUUAAUUAUGAUUAAUUUUUUUAUUUUUAUUUGGCAUCAAAUUUUAUACCAAAGACACACAUUUCCUCUAAAACAUGAGAUUUUCUCUAACAGUUUUUUUAUUUUUAUAUUUCUUUUAAAGCCUUUUCAUUUUUUUUUAUUGAGUGUUUUUGUGAAUGUAGAUUUUCGAAAAUGUGAUAUUAUAUAUUCCAUAUUUAGGUUUUCUUUAAUUGAGAAUAAAAGAGAUUAUGUAUAAUUAUAAACAGUGGACUGUUUUAAAAUAUUGUUUAACGUGAUUCUUAUUGCUUGCUCACUGAUUUUUUAACCUUGUUUUCCUUAAGACUAUUAUAUUCUUAAUAUCCAAUUUAAUUAAAUAAAGUGACAAUUUUUCUUUUAGGUUUAAUGUUAAAUCAUUAUUAUUACUAUUAUUAUAUUGUACGAUGUAAUAUUAUACUAUAGCUUAUCAUAAUUAACUAAAACUGAUAUUUUGUUAACGCAAAAAUUACAGCAAAGAACAUAAUUUUUAAACAGAUGUAGAUGGUUAACUGAAUUAAGUUUGUGGUUAUAAACAUUAGGCUUAAUUUCAUUUUUAUAAAGAUAAAGAUUCUGAUAUUUUGUACCCACAAGUUAAAUUCAAUUAAUUAACUAUAAAUAUAGUGACCCAUUCAUUUAUGUGAAUUUAUUCAGCUCAAUGUAAUUGAGACUUAAUAAUACCUAAAAUCAUGUUAAUUACAUUUUAUUGUUUGACGAUGGUGAAAAUAAUUAAACUAGUAAAUGAAGGGAUUAACAAAUAAUUCAUUUUGUAUGGUAGAAAUCGCUUUUAGUUACUAUAUUUGAUAGAUUCAGAGUUAAUCCUCAAAUGAUGAAGAUAUAAGCGAUUUCUUCUGUAUAUUAUUUGAGCUUGAAUAAGUAAUAAAAAAAUGAUCAAAUUCUACUAUCUAUGUAUGUAUGUAUAAAGUUUUAAGUCGUCCAAACUUUUUUUAUUUUUUUAUAUCUAUGCCUGUAGCGAACAAAAUAUAGCAUAUUGUGUGUUUACGUCUUAGAGAGAGACUGAUAUUUAUUACGAUAGGUUUUUGUCGUUUUAUUUUUAAUUUCUAUUUUCGUACAUUGUUAAAAAGAAAGAUUUUCAAUUGGUAAUUGGGUUUUAACUUUCCUCUUCUUUUCCAUCCUAGUCCUUCUAACUUAAGAAUCACCAGUGCGUUUAUAUAUUUCUAUGAUCUCAUGUCCAUAGUUUGUUUUAUCUUUCGUACUAAACCAUCUAAAGCGUAAUUAUUCCAUGAUAUAUUUUACAUUGCAGGAUAUAUGAUAAAUAAAAUUUGAUUCCAUUUUCGUACUGCCUGUACCUUUGUAUUGGUUCUUUUUGUAAAUAUAUUAUCUAAUAUUUUAAAAUGUGA